CCCAGGGUGGGAAUGGAAAGAAUGGUGUGCUUAGAGGCCUUGGCACUGCCAAGGGAUUAACUACUCAGCACCAGACAGUCCGGGUGCUAAAACCUAAAAGCCCAAGUGAUGAGAGAUAUUAAGAAGGAAGUAGCUGGGGGAGGGGAAGGACCCAAGCCCAAUCCUGACUCUUCCGAGCUGUGAAUCCACGACUACAAUUGCAUCGUGGAGCCUCCGCCACUGACGGGAGUGGGCGGGGGGAGACUAAAGCUGGUAUCUGUUCCCCAUCUCCGCCCCCGGACGGAUGCUGCUGCGUGGUUACCCGAAGCUAGAUGACGGCUCAUCAGCGGAUGGAUGUAGGGCUGCCUCGUGUGCCUGCCCUGAUGUCAGCCAAAAAGCAGAAGAGGAGUGAGCAAUGAGUCCAUGCGCAGGAAUUUGCCUUUGCUUUCUUUCUGCCAAAACCAGCAGAUCGGCGGUUCCCAUAGGACCUCAUGCUCCUGGGCCACAGUGGGCCUCCCUCCAGAAUUGUGGUGGUUGGGCUGGUAGGGGGCAGAUGGUGUUUCUGCUUUGGAAUUAAGUCCCUUUUUUUUUUUUUUAGAAAAGCUAAUGGCUUCCUUAUGGGCUGCCACCCAAAUUCUUGCUAAAUUUUGCUCAGCUUUUAUGGCUUUCUUGUGUCUUCUCAGCCAGCUCUCUCAGUCAUGAAUAAAUAAGCCGAGGU
Molecule: long non-coding RNA, 697 nt
Organism: Peromyscus leucopus (white-footed mouse)
Lineage: Eukaryota; Metazoa; Chordata; Mammalia; Rodentia; Cricetidae
Exons: 2
Source: RefSeq, a predicted model, not a curated record